CACGUAGGGGGCAAGCGUUGUCCGGAUUUACUGGGCGUAAAGGGCGCGUAGGCGGUCUUGUAAGUCCCGUGUGAAAUCCCUCGGCUCAACUGAGGAACUGCACGGGAAACUGCUUGGCUUGAGUUCGGGAGAGGGAAGCGAAAUUCCGGGUGUAGCGGUGAGAUGCGUAGAUAUCCGGAGGAACACCGGUGGCGAAGGCGGCUUCCUGGACCGACACUGACGCUGAGGCGCGAAAGCUAGGGGAGCAAACGGG
RNAcentral lists this ribosomal RNA (253 nucleotides) under uncultured bacterium. RNAcentral describes it as "partial 16S ribosomal RNA". It matches the Rfam family "Bacterial small subunit ribosomal RNA", at positions 524 to 776 of the family's 1533-position model. The record is from RNAcentral.